RNAcentral lists this ribosomal RNA (426 nucleotides) under uncultured bacterium. Its description in RNAcentral is "bacterial SSU rRNA". It matches the Rfam family "Bacterial small subunit ribosomal RNA", at positions 356 to 773 of the family's 1533-position model. The record is from RNAcentral.
GGGGAAUAUUGGACAAUGGGGGGAACCCUGAUCCAGCCAUGCCGCGUGUGUGAAGAAGGCCUUAUGGUUGUAAAGCACUUUAAGCGAGGAGGAGGCUCUUUUGGUUAAUACCCAAGAUGAGUGGACGUUACUCGCAGAAUAAGCACCGGCUAACUCUGUGCCAGCAGCCGCGGUAAUACAGAGGGUGCGAGCGUUAAUCGGAUUUACUGGGCGUAAAGCGUGCGUAGGCGGCUUUUUAAGUCGGAUGUGAAAUCCCCGAGCUAAACUUGGGAAUUGCAUUCGAUACUGGGAAGCUAGAGUAUGGGAGAGGAUGGUAGAAUUCCAGGUGUAGCGGUGAAAUGCGUAGAGAUCUGGAGGAAUACCGAUGGCGAAGGCAGCCAUCUGGCCUAAUACUGACGUUCAUGCUCGAAAGCGUGGGUAGCAAAC